GCCAGCAUGGUGUAACGGUUUGAACGUUGGACUAUGACUCUGGAGACCUGGGUUCGAAUCCCUGCUGGGC
Non-coding RNA from Phrynosoma platyrhinos (Desert horned lizard), 70 nucleotides. Lineage: Eukaryota; Metazoa; Chordata; Lepidosauria; Squamata; Phrynosomatidae. The record is from the annotation of a GenBank genome assembly.